AGAGUUUGAUCCUGGCUCAGAGCGAACGCUGGCGGCGUACUUAACACAUGCAAGUCGAACGGGGAUCGUCAGUGUAGCAAUACAUCGGCGGUUCUAGUGGCGCACGGGUGAGUAACACGUGGGUAACCUGUCCUUGAGUCCGGGAUACCCUUUCGAAAGGAAGGCUAAUACCGGGUACGUUCCUCGGGUUGCGAAAUCUGGGGAGGAAAGGUGGCGAAAGCUACCGCUCUUGGAGGGGCUCGCGGCCUAUCAGCUAGUUGGUGAGGUAACGGCUCACCAAGGCGAUGACGGGUAGCUGGUCUGAGAGGACGACCAGCCACACGGGAACUGAGACACGGUCCCGACUCCUACGGGAGGCAGCAGUGGGGAAUUUUCCGCAAUGGGCGAAAGCCUGACGGAGUGACGCCGCGUGGGGGACGAAGGCCUUCGGGUCGUAAACCCCUGUCAGAGGGAAAGAAGGGUCGCUUGGCUAAUAUCCAAGUGAUCUGACGGUACCUUCAGAGGAAGCCCCGGCCAACUCUGUGCCAGCAGCCGCGGUAAGACAGAGGGGGCAAGCGUUGCUCGGAAUCACUGGGCGUAAAGGGCGCGUAGGCGGGAUGGCAAGUCGGUCGUGAAAUCUCUCGGCUCAACCGAGAAACGUCGGCCGAUACUGCCGUUCUUGAGGGAUGCAGAGGAGACUGGAAUUCCCGGUGUAGCGGUGAAAUGUGUAGAGAUCGGGAGGAACACCGGUGGCGAAGGCGGGUCUCUGGGCAUUUCCUGACGCUGAGGCGCGAAAGCGUGGGGAGCAAACGGGAUUAGAUACCCCGGUAGUCCACGCUGUAAACGAUGACGACUAGGUGUGGGGUGGUUCAGUCCAUUCCGUGCCGCAGCUAACGCAUUAAGUCGUCCGCCUGGGGAGUACGGCCGCAAGGUUGAAACUCAAAGGAAUUGACGGGGCCCGCACAAGCGGUGGAGCAUGGUGGUUCAA
Molecule: ribosomal RNA, 967 nt
Filed under: uncultured bacterium
Lineage: Bacteria
Description: bacterial SSU rRNA
Rfam family: Bacterial small subunit ribosomal RNA
Source: RNAcentral